Mus musculus (house mouse) is the source of this 1840-nucleotide long non-coding RNA. RefSeq annotates it as RIKEN cDNA 9330117O12 gene. Lineage: Eukaryota; Metazoa; Chordata; Mammalia; Rodentia; Muridae. The record is from RefSeq and is marked validated. The transcript has 3 exons.
ACGUUUGGUCAGUGUUCUGUCAAAACAACUUUUAUUAUAUGAGGGCUCUCAGUCCUUCAGGGCUCCAGGAGCUUGGAAGACAAGCUGUUUUCCUCCAGCAAUUCCAUCAAUAAGAAGAAAAUGGGAAAUGAGUACUGAUUUAUGGCUGAUUCUUCAUAACAAAUAGCUCCAAAAUGGAUCCUACUCAGAAGCAUGAAUUAUUUGAUGAAAAUCUCAGUGUCAACGUGUGCAGGAUGUUUCCUUGGUCAAGGGUGCCAGAGGGGUUCAGAAAACAGCAUGGGUCAUUGCCUUUGCUCUUGGUUGCCUACUGAAACUAGAUAGUAAAACCAUAUUACUGAGGACACAACACACUUUGACUCCAGGACAUACUGAAAUCAAGCUGGAAUUGACCUGAAAACUUCCUCCCUGAUGGCUAGCUUAACAGUGUUAGAAGGCACAAAGCAGGCUUCUGGGGGAGAAGAGUCACCAACAGUCUUUCUGUAUGCUGAAUCCUGAACUCUGGAAUACUAAUCUACAAGACAAGAUAUGCUCCUUAGUAAAAUAGCCACACAGAGAUUAUGGAGCAAACACUGAUCCAGUUGACAGUUGGGAAGGAAAUUUCCCAAACAGAUCAUUUCUGGCAUCCUUGGAAAGAUUUCCGAGUAGUUCUACAUGAUGGGAAGACCCUGCGUCAACAUACCUCAAGUUUAUAUCCACUGAGUGUCUUUAAUUAAAAGAAAUUCAUCUGCCAGCAGGACAAGAACACAGAGCUCAAGAGAGAGGAGUUGUGCAGGAACAACAGUGACUGGAGCAAGAAACCCUCUACACAUUGUCACCAGCAUUCUCAGAGCCUGGGAGGACCUCAGAGACCUAACCAUAAUGGAUCCAUUUACAACACAACUCAACCAAAGGCGCAGGGAACCUCAUGCAAAAGGGUAUAGAAAGAUUUAAGAGCCAGAAGAACAGUAAAUCGGCUGUAAAUUUCUGCCUUGUGGGAAUGGCAGGAAAGCUUCAUCCAAUAUACCUUAGCAACACGGCUGCCUGUGCAAGAACUUAAAGUACAACACCGAGAGACAUGCUAACAUGGAAGCAGGAAAUCUCAUGGGCCUCCUCACCUCUAAACAAAGAACUACAGACAACUAAAGAAGGUGGACAGUGGGAGAAAUAGUCUUCCCAAGGAAUUAGCUCCUCAACUAGCUAUUUGGUACUAAGGAGUCAGUCUUGAAAUCAUAUACGUACAAGGAACACUAAAUAGACAGAGCAGGUUGUAUUUGUUUAGUUAUAUGUGCAUGUGUUAAAGUGUGUGUGUUUAUAACCUUUUUAAUGUUUAAAAAAAGGAGUACUAUUUGGAAAAAAACUGACAAUAUAGGCACUUUGGAUGAAGGGCUCACUUCAGGGUCAUUUUAUCAAUGUCCAUGCUCAUUGAUAUACAGUGGAAACUGCCCAGCGGCUAACCUGAAGCACAUCCCAAAGUGCACAGAAAAGCUGGACCAAGUAGAUUUCAAGAGUUGCCAAGGCCAAAAACAGCAACAAUCCCAAACAAGGAUACCUGAGGAAACUGAGUCAGAUCUCCAUCUUUCUCACCUCUGCUUGGGGUAGCACAGUUAGAAUUGUCCUGGUUUGAUCUGAGUCAUAAUUGCUGCUAUUUGUGGGAGUUGUCAGAUGAGAGAGAUGACCCCUUCCUUUCCCAGAAAAGAAAGAUAAGGCAUUCUCUCGGUUGCGAGGAGCAGAGGUCAGCAUCAUUGGCUUUGAAUGAAAAAUUUGUAUGUUAUAUCCCAAACAGAGAAAAUAGGAAGUAUUGAUUUCAGGAUACUGUCUUAGUGUGCUGGAGAUGUUCUACAAUAUAUGAGAUAGAUUAAGC